UUUAGGUGCUCUUCCUUGGCAAGGAAGAGGUCGAGAGUUAGAGUCUCUUAGCUCGCACCA
RNAcentral lists this transfer RNA (60 nucleotides) under Caudoviricetes sp. Its description in RNAcentral is "tRNA-OTHER". The record is from RNAcentral. Lineage: Duplodnaviria; Heunggongvirae; Uroviricota; Caudoviricetes.